AAAGAAUGUUGUUGACAGUUUGCUAAAUCAAUUUUUAGUAAUGACUUGUGCUUCCACAUGCGUGCGUGUGCAUGAACAUGAGAAAUUAUACGGUACUACUCUUAUACCAUGUAAGCAAUCCUACAUGGUAUAACAAAUCAAUAAAAGUUAGACAAAUGGAUAAAUAUAACCUACAAGUAAAUGAGUGAGUCCUAAAAAGAUGGCAACUAACUAGCAAUUUUUUUUCCUGAUAAUGGAGGGAUUGAACCCAGAUAUGAAGACUUUCUUGAAUACAAAGCACCAGCC
RNAcentral lists this long non-coding RNA (285 nucleotides) under Manihot esculenta (cassava). RNAcentral's name for it is "long non-coding RNA (MESC_LNC012305)". The record is from RNAcentral. Lineage: Eukaryota; Viridiplantae; Streptophyta; Magnoliopsida; Malpighiales; Euphorbiaceae.